AGUGAACGCUGGCGGUAGGCCUAACACAUGCAAGUCGAACGGCAGCACAGAGGAGCUUACUCCCUGGGUGGCGAGUGGCGGACGGGUGAGGAAUACAUCGGAAUCUACUCUGUCGUGGGGGAUAACGUAGGGAAACUUACGCUAAUACCGCAUACGACCUACGGGUGAAAGCAGGCGAUCCUCGGACCUUGCGCGACUUAAUGAGCCGGUGUCGGAUUAGCUAGUUGGCGGGGUAAAGGCCCACCAAGGCGACGAUCCGUACGCUGGUCUGAGAGGAUGAUCAGCCACACUGGAACUGAGACACGGUCCAGACUCCUACGGGAGGCAGCAGUGGGGAAUAUUGGACAAUGGGCGCAAGCCUGAUCCAGCCAUACCGCGUGGGUGAAGAAGGCCUUCGGGUUGUAAAGCCCUUUUGUUGGGAAAGAAAUCCAUCUGGUUAAUACCCGGGUGGGAUGACGGUACCCAAAGAAUAAGCACCGGCUAACUUCGUGCCAGCCGCCGCGGUAA
This 507-nucleotide ribosomal RNA is filed under the name uncultured bacterium. RNAcentral's name for it is "partial 16S ribosomal RNA". It matches the Rfam family "Bacterial small subunit ribosomal RNA", at positions 29 to 523 of the family's 1533-position model. The record is from RNAcentral.